UACGUAGGGUGCGAGCGUUGUCCGGAAUUAUUGGGCGUAAAGAGCUCGUAGGCGGUCUGUCGCGUCGGUCGUGAAAACUUGGGGCUUAACCCUGAGCUUGCGGUCGAUACGGGCAUGACUGGAGUUCGGCAGGGGAGACUGGAAUUCCUGGUGUAGCGGUGAAAUGCGUAGAUAUCUGGAGGAAUACCGGUGGCGAAGGCGGCAUCCUGGACCAUUACUGACGCUGAGGCGCGAAAGCUAGGGGAGCAAACGGG
Molecule: ribosomal RNA, 254 nt
Filed under: uncultured bacterium
Lineage: Bacteria
Description: partial 16S ribosomal RNA
Rfam family: Bacterial small subunit ribosomal RNA
Source: RNAcentral